UUUUCUUUUUCAUUCUUUAGAAAAGAAAACACACAGCACCAAACGAUCCCUUAAGCUCCCUCACACUCUCAAAGAGCUCAUCUCUGACCAAAUUAGGCAAAGGUUCAACGCAUUUCUUUUCUCUCAGUCCUUGCCUCACCAUUUCGGGCAAGGUCAUUAAUGAAGCUUUGUCAUCUUCUCACAUUGACAGCCAACUCAAACGACAAUAAUAACUCCUUUUCAUUUUUGUUUUUUGAUUUUUUCUUUACAUCUGACGGAUGAUUUGGAUUUCAAGUAAUUAUCAAUGAAUUUCAACUUUAAUAGCUGUCCCACAUCGAUUUUGGACCGAAGAAACCCUAGAAUUGGCCUCUUAUAAAGAGAGAACCAUUUCUUCAUUCUUAAAAAUGGGUUUUUGACACCUACAAUUGGUUUUUCACAACCACAAUGGGUUUUUACACGAGUUUGAACACUCAGAAACUCGGCUCAUCCUUGAGUUUCAAGGAAGUUCUCGAUCACAGUUAAAUUUUUGGGUCUCGUUUCCGUUCGUCGAAAGCUAGUUUAGGUGAAAGGUUGUUUGUCGGCUCUCGUCGCUCCCGUCGUUGCUCGACAAAAAGGAAACUUCCCUUUUCUUUAUUUAUUUCUACAUCUUUACAGUUUUCUUUAGUCCUGUUGAUUUGUAUUCCGUUGGGUUCGAUUUAGUUCUUGUUAGGUAUUCAGUUUGUCUCUAGUUUUGGUAUGUGAAGUAUAAAGUAAUGUUCCCUUUUACUUACUCGUUUUUUUUCUUUUAGAGAAAUAUGGAUUUUGUGUGUAGUUGUUUCUUUCUUUAAUUCUCCACCAAGAUAAGGCAUAAGUGACUGAUCCUUGCUUUUCUUUAGAAUAAGGAUUGUCUGAUUGGCUCAUUCUAUUCAUGUUUAGUUUGAUUCCUUGUCUUCUAUAAUGUAUUUGUUGAUUUUAUGCUAAGUAGGUAAUCAAUGCGUUUGAGAUGUUAUCCUUGAGCUCGAAAUCCGAUAAAUCAAUAUGUGCCGAGACCAUAUGUUAAUAUCCUUGGUGACAAUUGUCAGUAUAAGUAGGUAAAAGGACUAAUAAAAUCUAGUUUUGCCUCUGUUAUGAUACACAAAAAUGUGAUUGGAUGAUGUUUGUUAGUUUGUUCAGUGGUUAUGCAAUUCCAUUCUGGUUUUCACUGAUUUGAAUUAGUUUUUAAGUGGAGCUAGUUUAGAUAUGAGAUCUAUUCUAGUUGGGAUUUUUGCGGAGUAGCUUACAGGAAUGUGAUCUUAUGGGUUGUUUUAUUAUUGUUGUGGUAGUCUCUUUCACGUGCAACUAGAUUCAAGUUCCCAUAUAAGUUAAGCUUUGCUUGAAAUUAGUGCCAAUAUCAUUAGCUUGGUAUUACCAUCCGAAGUUUGAUAUUUGUUGAUCUAGAGCUAUUUUCUUGUUUAAGAUUUGUUGUGGGCCUUUGAAGAGAAACUGAUAAUAAUUUCUCUAAACUUUAAUUCAGUUAUACACUUUUUCUAAAGGUCAAACUUGUUAGAUCAACCUUACCUUUUAUUUUUAUUUUUUAAUAUUCAGUAGUGAAUUCAUUUAAUAAGAGGUUAACCUUUAUUUCGUUUGGUUAUUGUUUUUGUUGGAAAUUGUUGAUUGGAUACUCAUUCUUCACCCUUCUUUUCUUUGGAUGACUCGGGGAGUUGCAAAUCCCAACUGCUCUCAAGGUAUAUUUGUGAGUUGCUACUAGUUUGACAUUUUGCUUUUGCUGCUACUUGCUGCUGUGCUGCACUUUAACGCAAACAGUUCCUGCAUUUUGAGGUAAGUAAUGACUGUUACACCUUCGAAGGAUAAAUGAGUUGCUGCAUUUUGGGUAAGUAGUUGCUGCCUUUGCUUGGAAAAAUGGAUGAUACUUUGAUAACAACAGCUACUUCAUUGUGAAGUUCAGAAAAUGUUAGUGAGUGUUACUUUUUAGUUGCUACAUUGGUUGAGAAAUGGUUGCUGCACUUCUUGAUAAAUUGUUGUUGUAUUGGAGACGUUGCCUCAUUCUCAAGUUGUUGCCACACUUAAGAUACUACACUUGUUCACAAAAUAGUUGUUGCAUUAUGCCACGUUCUGCUAAUAUUGUUGAUGCCUCACUUGUGGAUGAAUCAGUGUUAUGGUAAAAUUUGCUGAGUCUGUCAAAAACAACAGACUACUACUGCACUUUGCUAUAAAUAAUUGGCUUGUUUUAAGGCAACUGCUGCUACAAAUAGCUACUACCUUGAGGAGAUGGUUGUUGCAUUUUUUUAGCUGAGUUACGGCUACAUUUCGAUACUUAUUGUUGGCUGAAACCUCUGCUAUACGUUGAUAAGAAUUGCUGCUAUGUUUAAACAUAUGGUACUGCCUUCAUUUUGAAGUUGGCUGCUAUAUUUUGAUGCUUCAUUUUUGGGAAAUGUUUAUUAUCCAAACAGAGGCUAUUUUAGAAAGAAACAGAUGCUGCCUCUAUUUGGUAUUUACUGAUUCAAACAGGAUACUACACUUGAGCCGAUGAGAACAUUUAAUUUUAGGCCAUGCCUUGUCCAGAAAGGUUAUCCCUCUGUUUAGGCGACGAUGCCCUCAUAAUAAUAUCAAGAGAUAGGAACCAACAUGCAUUUGGCGAGGAAACUAGAAUCGCCACUAGUUUGCAGCCAACACAUGUAUUGGGUUUCUUUGCCACAUUCGGAAACAUUAGUCUGAGCCUCCGUAAUCAAAGCUCUCAAAGUUUGAUACGAGUCCAAGAGAUAUUAUUUUUAUGUUCAUAAACGUCACCCUAUGGGGUGGCGUACCAUUUUGACUAACUACUUUUCUUUUCAUUGUGCGAGGUACAAAUAAAACAAGUAUGGAGAGCAAAGCUCAAAGAUGAAGUAAAAGGAUUAGCUGCUUAGAGCUUCGUACGAAGAACUAGAAGAGCAUGGAUUGCUAACGAUUUGGGCCCAAGGCCGAAAAAGAUAAAUCGUCUUCCCCUUUCCUUUAUUCUUGUAUAACCAAGCUAAUUUAAUAUGUUCGGAAAAGGGCCAAAAUUACUCGUGAACUUUGAAAAAUAGUUCAUCCAUACCCUUCGUUAUACUUUAGGGCCAAUUAUACCCUUACAGUUAUACUAUGGGGUCAAUUAUACCCUUAUGUCUAACUGCUGCCACGUGGCAUCAUCCCAGCCCUUCAAAAUUAUUUUACCUUCAAAUAAUUUUUUACCCACUAAAAUAACUCAACCCGACCCGAAUUUUUUUUUCCAGCAAAAAUAAUACGGAUAAUUUUUCUAGCAAAAUAAAAUAAAAAUAAUUCCGUAUUAUUUUUGCUGGAAAAAAAUUUCGGGUCGGGUUAAAUUAUUUUAGUGGGUAAAAAAUUAUUUGAAGGUAAAAUAAUUUUGAAGGGCUGGGAUGAUGCCACGUGGCAGCAGUUAGACAUAAGGGUAUAAUUGACCCCAUAGUAUAGCUGUAAGGGUAUAAUUGACCCUAAAGUAUAACGAAGGGUAUGAAUGAACUAUUUUUCAAAGUUCAGGGGUAAUUUUGGCCUUUUUCCGUAAUAUGUUUACAUUCGUUUUGUAUGAGCAUGUAUACUUGCAAAUACUUGUGUAUUAUUGAAACCCCUUAGAACAUAGUUGAAACCUUGCAUAAGAAAAAUGAUUCAAGUUGUUUUCAAAAACCGUUUUGGGCCUUGGCCUGCACAAAGAUAAUAAAACAAAAGAAAUCCCACUUAAACUCAAUGUAACGACCCAUUUGGUCGUUAUAGUCUUUUUGGCACUUUUGACCUUUUUCCGAGCUUGUUUAGCUCACAUUUGACUCGAGGGGACCGUUGACAUGCUUCUCGAGGUGUUUGGAUUUGAUUUGGGUAAUGUUUUUGGGAAAAUUGGGCUUUAAGAGAAAAAAAGUUGACUAAAAGUUGACUUUUGGGUAAACGGACCUUUUUUCGAAAAUAUGUCGAUUUCGAGAGGUCCGGAUGAUCUUUUAGAACCUAUUUGCAUAUUUGGUUCGGUUCCCAAUGCACUCGGGUGCAUUUCAGGACUCGGGUUGGGAAGUUGAAGUUGAGGUAUCAGGGGUUGACUCGGUCAACGAGACCUCCGUUGGGAAUUCCGAGGACAAAGUGCGUUUGUAGCGUGUUUUUAUAUAUGUCUGCAUAUUUGGUAUGUGAGCAGAUGGCCUUGUGAGAUAGUUAAAAAUUCGGGUUGAGUUGUGAAAAUCUUGGGAAUUCUUGUGUCUGGUGCCCGGUUUGGCGGUACUGCUAUAGUGGUCACCUUGCCGCUGAAGCGGCCAAUGUGAUUUUGGGCAUGACCGCUGUAGUGGUCAUGGGACCGCCAAAGCGGUGACGUUGAAGUGGUCUGAUGGUCGCGGAAGCAGGCGUCGGGAAGUUAAUUUCAUUAAAUGAAGUGUUAAAAGCCCUAAGUCCCUCAUUUAUUACUAUUCCGAAAUCUGAGUUAUUGGGAGCAUUUCAAGGUGAUUCUUUGGGGGGAAUCUUGGUGGUAAGUCCUUCUAUCUUUUUUCCUAUUCCAAGAUUUCAUUAUCAUCUUAGGAUUCCUUUAUCAUGCUAGUUCACUAGAGUUGAAGAAUUAAUAGAAGGUUCAAUGAGUUCUUCUUCUAGGCUUUGUAAUCUUGAUUUAUUGGUUGGGUUAGCUUAUUUAAGCAUGGAAUUGAUGAUUAGAAUCUUGUAUUUCAUAAUUUCUUCCUAAUUAGUGGCUAAUUUAUGGGAUUGGAAGUUAGGGUUUAUACCCAAAUUUGGGGGGUUUUGCCUAAAAUAUGAAUUUAGGGUUUAGGGUCUUGAAUAGAAGUAAGGUUUGAUAAAUGUUCUUCUUGAUUCUAAUUUCUUGAUUUGAAUAUGCUUAGAAUUUCUUUAUCUUGAGGCUCAAAGGAAAGGGAAGACUAAGGUGUGAUUGUCGAGACCUUGUUGUUCGUUCUUCCAGGUAGGUUACAGUUUACCCUAUUGUGAGACUUCGUUUAGCGAAGCAUAUAUUUAGACGAUAUUAUCGGAGAAAGCCUCUAAACCUUUGAGUAUGAAAUUGGGUUGCAUAUUCUCUUACGUUGGGCCCUAUUGUGUGAUUUUGGGCUUAGCCACCCCGUUUUAUUGUGACUUAUCUUGUUCUAUUGUUGUUGGGUCGAUGCCACGUGGAGAUAGUAAAUAUUGGUGACUUGUCACACCCUAUCUUGAUAGGGCAUGAUGGGCACCCGACCCCAUACUCAGAGCUGAGCGAACCCCUUUAGCUCUCGUUAUGUUCAUAACCUCACUGGACUCUUAAGUUACGAAAUGAAAUGCAUAAUAAAAACUUGACAAAAACCAUUCUUUUUGUCGUUCUCAAAUCAAGUAAAAUCUGUAUCAUAUGGAAUUUGUAACAUAAUGCAUAAUGAUACGUCGGCUUGCAGAGCCGCUUACAAAACUGACAUCCUAUACCCAUGACUCUGUCUGCAAAGUCUCUAACAUCAAUCAAGAUAUCAAAACCUGAAUACUCUGACUCGGCAACACUCUAGAAGGAAAUGGAGCUCGCCAAUCCAGCUGGUACAUCUCCUAUCAAUGUCCUCUACUCAUCUGUAUGCACCUGCGUGGCAUGAAACGCAGCCCCCGAAAAAAGGGGGUCAGUACGGAAUAUGUACUGAGCAUGUAAAGCAUGAAAUACAGUAAACAGAGCCAUAAUCGGAACAAGAAACACAAAAAGUAAGUAUACUAUCCAGAAUACCAAAAUGCUUACUUUUAAAACACAAAUCGUGCAUGUCGAUGGGAUAUGUCCUAUCCGGCCCAUUAUGGGACUCGGUGGACAAAACAUGGUCGCCACCCCGUCAUUGGCGCCAUAACAUAUCAUACUCCAGAGUAGGGAAUAACUCCGUAACACAUCAUACUCCAAAACACAUCAUACUCCAGAGUGUAUAUACAUAUAACGUAUCCCGACCCUCUUGUGAGGGACUCGGUGAACAAUGCAGUAGAGUGUGCACGAGAACGUAUCCUGGCUCGGGACUCAGUGAAAGAUACAUUGAGGCAUGCACGAGCAGAGUAGUGAGAAACCAUAUGCAUACAAAUCAAUUUUAAGACUCGAUAAGUAAGAACACUAAUCGACACUUGAAGGAUCAUAAGCACAUUUCGAGUCAAUCCGAGUUAGCAUAUGAAAGUUAUGGACAUUAAUCAUUACAAAAACCUUUAUGAACGUUUCAAAACAAUCCGAGACCGUCUAUGAAAGUUAGAAACAUUAAUCCUUAUAGAACUCUUUUAGGAACAGGAACUAUCUAUGCUUUACUCGUUAUUCCAUCAUACAAUAACUUGACCACAUUAAGCAUGCUUAUGUCAAGAAGUGAAUAAGAAUCAUAAACAAGCUCGGAAUUUAGGAAUAGAGUCACCCCAAGGUGCAUAUCAUACCUUAUUUAGCUCUAGGACAUGCCAAAAGAAAGAAAGAGUAAGCCUUACAUACCUGUUCCACCUCCUAUUAGCUACGCUUAUUUGUCCAAGCUCGCUAGUCUACAUUCAAGAGGAUUUACACAAUCAUUAGACUCAUCGUUAUACGCUUGUCUUAGUCCUUCAAAUAAAUUCAUUUAUAAUCUGCCGAAAUUUCGGCAGCAUUUCCCCUGUUUAUAUGCCUAGCCCAAAAUUACAAUUCAGCAACUAACAACAUCAACAAAAAUACCAAUAGUAAUAACAUCAUUUCCAACACAACAUAUGCCAUAAAGCAGCCCACACACCAUUUUUCCCAUUUUCUCAACCAACCAAUUUGCGAUACGACUAAUUAAUAACUUUAUUUCCGUAAAGAAGCCGAAAUUAAUACCAGCAACAUCGAUAACAACAUCUUCAACAUCCUACAAAAUAAAUACAUAUAUUUUUAUCCAAAUUUCUCUUCAAGCCUAAAUCCAUAAUUCGACAACACCAACAACCGAAUUUAUCACACUAUUCUCUCCUUUCUAAUCCGUUAAAACUCUGAAUAAACUUGUUAACAAUGAAAAGGAACCUUAAUCUUACUUCAAGUGUACAGCCACCACGUCCACCCUCUUCUUCUUAGUUGAUUUUUGGCUCAAAUUGAAGGCAACGCCACGUACGACACUUUUCUCUUCAUGGGCUUCGGAAUUCGGGGCUCAGAUUUUGGUCAAAAUUGAUUUUUCUCUCUAGGCUCUCCUCUCUCUUUUUCUCCAGAAUUUUCUGGUGUUUUGGUAUGAAAAAUGAGGAGAUAAAGCUGAUAUUUCACUUAAAAAGGUGUGGGUAAUGGGCAUGAUCCGAUUGGGCUCGGGUUGGGCCUGGCCCACUAACCUUUCUGCCUUAAAAAUUCCAAACUUAUCAUACCAUUUUGGCCCUUCGAAGUCAGAUCACCCGAAAACGUUUUCUUAAAUCGUCCUUUUGGAGGGCUUACACUCAUUUUCGGCUUAUGGGUCCUUCUUAAGACUUGCUCAACUUCACAUGUACUACCAUAUAUCCCUUCAUAUGUCCUUUAUAAAAUCCCGAUGUCACACCCUAAUCUUACUAGGGUGUGAUGGGCACUCGAUCUCAUAUUCGGAGCCGAUCGAACCCACUGACUCUUACUACACACAUAAUCGCUUUGGACUUUUAACUCAAAUAAAAUGAAAUACAUAAUAAGAGCUUUCAGGAACAUUCCUUUCGUCGUUCUCAAAUCAAGCAAAAUUUGUAAUCAUAUGGAAUUUAUAACAUAUCGCAAAAUGACACAUUGACUGAUGGAGCCGCUUACAAUACUGACAUUCUAUUCCCACGACUCUGUCUGCAAAGUCUCUAACAUUAACCAGAAAUCAUAACAUAUAUACUCUGACUCGGUAACACUCCGGAAGGAAGUGGAGCUCGCCAAUCCCGCUGAAACACCUUCUAGCAAAGCCUUCUACUCAUCUGGGUGUACCUGCGUGGCAUGAAAUGCAGCCCCCGAAGAAAGGGGGUCAGUACGGAAUAUGUACUGAGUAUGUAAGACAUGGAAUACAGAAGACAGAACCAUAAUCGAAACAAACAUUUCAAAAGUAAGUACAUUAUCCAGAAUGCUUAAAAUGCUUAUUUUCAAAACACAAAUCAUGUAUGCCGAUGUCAUAUGUCAGAAUUAGUACAGAAAAUAAGCAAAUCAUCCAGAAUACCAAAAUGUUUAUUUUCAAGACACAAAUCAUGCAUGCCAUAUGCGGCCCAUUGUAGGACUCGGAGAACAGAACAUGGUCGCCACCCCAUCACUGGCGCCAUAACACAUCAUACUUCGGAAUAGGGGAUAUUUCCGUCACACAUCAUACUCCAGAACACAUCAUACUUCAGAAUGCAUAUACCACAUCAUACUUCAAACGUAUAUGCAUAUAACAGAUCCCGACCCUCUAACUAGGGACGCGGUGAACAAUGCAGUGAAGAGCGCACGAUAACAUACCCGGCUCGGGACUCGGUGAAAGACAUAUUGAGGCAUGCACGAGCAGAGUAGUGAGAAACUAUAUGCAUAUAAAACAAAUUUUAAGACUCGAUGGGUACGUACAUAAAUCGACACUUGAGGGUCAUAAACACGUUUCAAGUCAAUCCGAGUUAGUGUGAAAAAGUUAUGGACGUUUUAGUACAGAACCUUCUACGAACGUUUCAGAAGCUAUUUUUUGGAAAAUCAAAGCAAUAAUCAUAUCAAGUACCUUUCGAAUAUCGCUAUGGAUCAAAUCAAAAUAGAACUUUUGGAACCAUAUGUACGUGUCAAAAUAUAUCAAAGACUCAAUGGAAUAAUCAAACGUGCUAUCAUUUGAAAAUCAAGACAUUAGUCAUAUCAAUUGUCUCUUGAAUGCCAUGCGGAAACAUAUCAAAUAGAACUUCGGACAUCAUAGAUACGCAUCAAAACCAUAUAAAAUAGCUUAUGGAAAUCAAGAACGUUAGCCAUCCUAGUGGCUCUAAGAAUAGGAGUUUCUUUGGAAUCAUAUACAUAUCGUCUGUUCGUUUCACAAGGAUCAUGCCAAAAGAAAAAAAGGGUAAGCCUUACAUACCUGUCCCACGUCCUAUUAGCUACGCUUAAUUGUCCAAGCUCGCUAUCGCUAGUCUACAUUCAAGAGAAUUUAUACAAUCAUUAGACUCAUCAUCACAUACUUAUCUUAGUCUUUCAAACAAAUUCAUUUAUAAUCUGCCGAAAUUUCGGCAGCAUCUCCCCUGUAAAUACAACCAUCCCCGAGAAUCUAACUCGGCCAAUUUAUCAACAACAAUCCGAGAAUUCAACUCGGCCAAAUUAUCAACAACAUCAUAUUUCCAACUCCAACAAUCAAUUCAAAGUGCAUUCUAACACUAGCAAUCCUUCCUACACAAUUCGGCGGCAUUUCAUUUAUAUUCAAUUUGAUCACAUAUAGUCAAGCUAACACCAAUGAUCUCACAUUCAAGUGUUAAUCCAAAAUCAUUCUAACAUGAUUCAAGAACACUUCAAACAAUUCACACAAUAUUCAAAAUAAUCUAACCAAUAUGCCAUUCCAUCCGAAACCUCCAAAGUGCAACAAUAACAAUAACAACACAUUUCCUUCCUUCAAUUCAUGAACUAUACCAUAAUUCACACACUAGCAACAUUAUUCUCAUAAUUACAAGAAACCAUAUUAGAAUCACAUUAAUUCCUCCAAUAAUUUCUCAACGAUUACAACUUCAUUUCAAUUCAUCCACAACUACAACAAUCAAAAUACUAAAUAAAAAUCAAUUCAUCACAUCCUAUCAUCAUCAAUCUUAUUCAGCCAUACCACACACAUACAUAUUUUUAUGAAUUUCAUCCAUUUCUACAUACUACGACAUUCACAAAUCAUCCAUAACACAUGUAAAAGAAGAUUGAACACAUACCUUUCUCCACACAUCUUCUUCCUCGGCUAGAGUCCACAACUCGCACAAUGAAUACUUUGCUUACUCCAACAAUUACUCCAUGUUAAAGAGGACCUUCCAAUUAGUUGGAAUACUAGAAGAAAAUAAUUUUUCUUGAUCAACUCCAUGGAACCAAUUUUUGAUAGCCAUGGCCGAACAUGGCUCCUUCUCUUUCUUUUUCUUCUUCUCCAAACUUCUUGAAUUUUCUAAGUGUAAUGGUAAUGAUAAAUAUGACUAAUAAGUCAUAUAUAUAUAUAUAUAUACACACACACACAUAAUUCAUCCAUGUGGGCCAAGGCCUCAACUUGGACGGCCACAUGGCCACUCAAGAACUUUCUUGAGUUUUUGUGAAAUUCCCAUUUUGCCCCUAGCCUUUCACAAUAUUACCAUGAACCACUUUGUGAAUUUUCCUUUUUACCCUUAGCCUUUCUCGAUAUUUCCAUACUAAUAAACAACUUGUGCAUUAAAAUAAUUUUGAAAAAUAGUCUUGCCCUUAACUUACCACGACUUCCUUAAAAUAUUCGAAUAUACGAAAUACGGGACAUAACACCCGACAUGUGGGCCCCACCUUGUGUUAACUGAUUUACUCCAUACGAUCUCCAAAUGUCAUAUGUAUAUUCUUAUACUCAGAUAAUAUAAUCUUCAUCCCUAAUCCUUGUAUAACUUUGCUCUCCCUUGAGCUCAUACUAAGCCGUCGACAGUCUUGGUAACGCAAAAUUUUCCGGGGUGUAACAUGAUUAUUGAUAUAUCUUAAUUUUGAUAUUGUAGCAUCUUACUUAUUGUCGUUUGAGACGAGGAUAGUGAUUCUAUUAUGGCUUAUUGUGUAGCCUUUUAUUGAUACUGUUGGUGUGCCUAUGUGGUACUUUUUAUAUUGAUUUGAUUAUUGACAUUGAACUCAUACAUUGCACGCAUUCUCAUCCUUCAUGAUAUAUUGUUGAUACAUUAAUGAUGUUUAUGGAAACACUGUUAUGAGCUGGGCUCAGUUGGAUGAGAGUAAUGUGAGGGUCGAUCCGAUAUUUAUCCUGAAAUCGAGGAUGAGUGCUGGUAGCGAUUGCCGAGGUUGUUGUCGGAAUCGUGAGAGUACAUGGACUUCGCGGGUCCUCUAUGGGUUGUGUUGCCGAGAUGUGAUAUUCCAUCUUCGGAGUACAUGUGUACAGUGCAUAUGCAUUGCAUUCACACUUCAUACAUCAUUCCAUUUCAUUGUACUAUGGCUUAUAUUGUGAUAUUCUUGUGAUGUACUUGUGAUAUACGGAUUCAGAUUGAGUAUAUUGAGACUUGGGACAUUUGGGUUUAGAUGUUACAACAUAGGUGAUGACGUGUACUUGGUUACUAGCUCAUGAUUGACUUAUACCUUGUUGAUUUACCUGUUUAUCUUACUUUAUUGCCUUGAUAUAUGUUAGCUAUUCUUAGUCGGCCUAUGAUACAUACCAGUAUUCAUUUUUUGUACUGACCUGCACUUGCUGCGUUCUUUUAUGAAUGCAGAGUUCCAGGUCGGUUCAGCCUCUACUCCUCGUGGCUGAUAGUAGUUCGAGGGUUGCAGUUUAGAGACUUACAAGGUAGACAGGGAGACGCUGCAGAUCCAUAGGAGCCAUCUACAGAUUUACAGGAGCACUCCACUAUUCCGGAGGUAGACAGGGAGAGCUGCAGAUCCGUAGGACCCAUCUACAGAUUUACAAGAGCACUCCACUAUUUCGGAGGUGCUAUUCGGUUGAUCCUUUUGUGUAUAUUGGUAUAUGCCAUCCUAUAAAGUCUCGUAGAUACUCGAUGUGGGCUAUGUGGUUCCAUGAUGUGGAUAAUAUGUAUGUGUAUGAGUAUAUUGAAAUAUGUUCUUCUGUUAGAGCAUUAUAUUUUGUAAUGAAGACCAGAUUUUUUUUAGGUUAA
Molecule: long non-coding RNA, 11595 nt
Organism: Lycium barbarum (goji berry)
Lineage: Eukaryota; Viridiplantae; Streptophyta; Magnoliopsida; Solanales; Solanaceae
Exons: 3
Source: RefSeq, a predicted model, not a curated record